UAGUUGGUGAGGUAACGGCUCACCAAGGCUUUGACGGGUAGCCGGCCUGAAAGGGUGAUCGGCCACACUGGCACUGAGACACGGGCCAGACUCCUACGGGAGGCAGCAGUGGGGAAUUUUGGACAAUGGGGGCAACCCUGAUCCAGCGACGCCGCGUGAAGGAUGAAGGUCUUCGGAUUGUAAACUUCUUUUAGAGGGGAUGAAUGCCGCCGUGAAUAACGGUGGGUGACAGUACUCUUUGAAUAAGCCACGGCUAACUACGUGCCAGCAGCCGCGGUAAUACGUAGGUGGCAAGCGAUACUCGGAAUCACUAGGCGUAAAGCGCAGGUAGGCGGUUUGGUAAGUCUUUUGUGAAAGCUCCUGGCUCAACUGGGAGAGGUCAAGGGAAACUACCGGACUAGAGUGUGGUAGGGGAUACUGGAAUUCCUGGUGUAGCGGUGAAAUGCGUAGAUAUCAGGAGGAAUACCUAUGGCGAAAGCAGGUAUCUGGGCCAUCACUGACGCUGAGCUGCGAAAGCUAGGGGAGCAAACAGGAUUAGAUACCCUGGUAGUCCUAGCCCUAAACGAUGCUCAUUAGAUGUGGGAGGUAUCGACCCCUUCCGCGUCGCAGCUAACGCAUUAAAUGAGCCGCCUGGGGAGUACGGCCGCAAGGUUGAAACUCAAAGGAAUUGACG
Molecule: ribosomal RNA, 673 nt
Filed under: uncultured bacterium
Lineage: Bacteria
Description: SSU rRNA
Rfam family: Bacterial small subunit ribosomal RNA
Source: RNAcentral